Molecule: ribosomal RNA, 1241 nt
Filed under: metagenome
Description: bacterial LSU rRNA
Rfam family: Bacterial large subunit ribosomal RNA
Source: RNAcentral
UGAAUACGAGACGCUAAGGCGUCGAAGUAGUGUAUGUCAUGCUUCCAAGAAAAGCUUGCACUGUCAUAGAUAAAAAACGCCUGUACCAUAACCGACACAGGUGGGUAGGUAGAGUAUACUAAGGGGCGCGAGAUAACUCUCUCUAAGGAACUCGGCAAAAUAACUCCGUAACUUCGGGAGAAGGAGUGCCUUAUUCUUAAGGUUGCAAUAACAAGAUCCAAGCAACUGUUUAUCAAAAACACAGGUCUCCGCUAAGUCGUAAGACGAUGUAUGGGGGCUGACGCCUGCCCAGUGCCAGAAGGUUAAAGAAGUUGGUUAGCAUUUGCGAAGCUGAUAACUGAAGCCCUGGUGAACGGCGGCCGUAACUAUAACGGUCCUAAGGUAGCGAAAUUCCUUGUCGGGUAAGUUCCGACCCGCACGAAAGGCGUAAUGAUUUGGAUACUGUCUCGGAGAGGGGCUCGGUGAAAUAGACUUGUCUGUGAAGAUGCGGACUACCUGCACCAGGACAGAAAGACCCUAUGAAGCUUUACUGUAACUUGAAAUUGAAAUUGACUUUAUUCGCGCAGCAUAGGUGGGAGGCGUUGAUUAUAAUCUCGUGGGAUUAUUGGAGCCAUCAGUGAGAUACCACUCUUGUAAUGUUAGAUUUCUAACUUUGAAUCAUUAUCUGGUCAAAGAACAGUUUCAGGCGGGCAGUUUGACUGGGGCGGUCGCCUCCUAAACGGUAACGGAGGCGUACAAAGGUUUCCUCUGAACGGUUAGAAAUCGUAUCUAGAGUGUAAAGGCAUAAGGAAGCUUGACUGUGAGACCUACAAGUCGAGCAGGGACGAAAGUCGGUCUUAGUGAUCUGACGGUACUGAGUGGAAAGGCCGUCACUCAACGGAUAAAAGUUACUCUAGGAUAACAGGCUGAUCUCCCCCAAGAGUUCACAUCGACGGGGAGGUUUGGCACCUUGAUGUCGGCUCAUCGCAUCCUGGGGCGGUAGUACGUCCCAAGGGUUGGGCUGUUCGCCCAUGAAAGCGGUACGCGAGCUGGGUUCAGAACGUCGUGAGACAGUUCGGUCCAUAUCCGGUGUAGGCGUUAGAAUAUUGAGAGGAGCCUUCUUUAGUACGAGAGGACCGAGAAGGACAUACCUCUGGUAUACCAGUUAUCGUGCCAACGGUAAACGCUGGGUAGCUAUGUAUGGAGUGGAUAACCGCUGAAAGCAUCUAAGUGGGAAGCCCACCUCAAGAUAAGUAUUCUCA